GAGUAACGCGUGGGUAACCUACCCUUUGGAAAGGAAUAGCCUCGGGAAAACUGGGAAUAAUCCCUUAUAAGAUACCGUUUGUCGCAUAGCAUUUGUAUUAAACGCUCCCGCGCCAUAGGAUGGACCCGCGUCCCAUUAGCUAGUUGGUGAGAUAACAGCUCACCAAGGCCACGAUGGGUAACCGGUCUGAGAGGGCGAACGGUCACACUGGAACUGAGACACGGUCCAGACUCCUACGGGAGGCAGCAGUGGGGAAUAUUGCGCAAUGGGGGCAACCCUGACGCAGCAAUACCGCGUGAGUGAAGAAGGUUUUCGGAUCGUAAAGCUCUGUUAUUGGGGAAGAAAAAAAGACGGUACCCAAGAAGAAAGUUCCGGCUAACUACGUGCCAGCAGCCGCGGUAAUACGUAGGGAACAAGCGUUGUCCGGAUUUACUGGGCGUAAAGGGCACGCAGGCGGUUUUUUAAGUCAGAUGUGAAAGGCCACAGCUCAACUGUGGACAUGCAUUUGAAACUGAAAGACUUGAGUAUUGGAGAGCGCAAGUGGAAUUCCUAGUGUAGCGGUGAAAUGCGUAGAUAUUAGGAGGAACCCGAGUAACGCGUGGGUAACCUACCCUUUGGAAAGGAAUAGCCUCGGGAAAACUGGGAAUAAUCCCUUAUAAGAUACCGUUUGUCGCAUAGCAUUUGUAUUAAACGCUCCCGCGCCAUAGGAUGGACCCGCGUCCCAUUAGCUAGUUGGUGAGAUAACAGCUCACCAAGGCCACGAUGGGUAACCGGUCUGAGAGGGCGAACGGUCACACUGGAACUGAGACACGGUCCAGACUCCUACGGGAGGCAGCAGUGGGGAAUAUUGCGCAAUGGGGGCAACCCUGACGCAGCAAUACCGCGUGAGUGAAGAAGGUUUUCGGAUCGUAAAGCUCUGUUAUUGGGGAAGAAAAAAAGACGGUACCCAAGAAGAAAGUUCCGGCUAACUACGUGCCAGCAGCCGCGGUAAUACGUAGGGAACAAGCGUUGUCCGGAUUUACUGGGCGUAAAGGGCACGCAGGCGGUUUUUUAAGUCAGAUGUGAAAGGCCACAGCUCAACUGUGGACAUGCAUUUGAAACUGAAAGACUUGAGUAUUGGAGAGCGCAAGUGGAAUUCCUAGUGUAGCGGUGAAAUGCGUAGAUAUUAGGAGGAACCC
This 1178-nucleotide ribosomal RNA is filed under the name uncultured bacterium. RNAcentral describes it as "bacterial SSU rRNA". The stretch from base 509 to 1178 matches the Rfam family "Bacterial small subunit ribosomal RNA", at positions 1 to 709 of the family's 1533-position model. The record is from RNAcentral.